CAGAACGAACGCUGGCGGCGCGUCUUAAGCAUGCAAGUCGAGCGGCAAGCAUCAGCAAUGGUGCCUAGAGCGGCGGACUGGUGAGUAACGCGUGGGUGACCUGCCUUGAGGACGGGGAUAGCCGUUAGAAAUAGCGGGUAAUACCGGAUACGUUUGCGGAGCUGUGGCUCUGCAAGGAAAGGGGCUUUGGCCCCGCCUUGAGAUGGGCCCGCGUUCCAUUAGCUUGUUGGUGAGGUAACGGCCCACCAAGGCGAUGAUGGGUAGCCGGCCUGAGAGGGUGAACGGCCACAUUGGGACUGAGAUACGGCCCAAACUCCUACGGGAGGCAGCAGCUAAGAAUAUUCCGCAAUGGACGAAAGUCUGACGGAGCGACGCCGCGUGGAUGACGAAGGCCGAAAGGUUGUAAAAUUCUUUUGCCGGCGAAGAAUAAGGCGGGGAGGGAAUGCCCUGCCGAUGACGUAG
Molecule: ribosomal RNA, 462 nt
Filed under: uncultured Treponema sp.
Lineage: Bacteria; Pseudomonadati; Spirochaetota; Spirochaetia; Treponematales; Treponemataceae
Description: bacterial SSU rRNA
Rfam family: Bacterial small subunit ribosomal RNA
Source: RNAcentral